UGGUGGAGUGAUUUGUCUGGCUAAUUCCGUUAACGAACGAGACCUCGACCUACUAAAUAGUUGACUAAACUCUUCGGGGUUUGGAUUAACUUCUUAGAGGGACUUUUGGUGAGUAGCCAAAGGAAGUUCGAGGCAAUAACA
This 141-nucleotide ribosomal RNA is filed under the name uncultured eukaryote. RNAcentral's name for it is "partial 18S ribosomal RNA". It matches the Rfam family "Eukaryotic small subunit ribosomal RNA", at positions 1299 to 1458 of the family's 1831-position model. The record is from RNAcentral.